CCUACGGGUGGCAGCAGUGAGGAAUAUUGGUCAAUGGACGAGAGUCUGAACCAGCCAAGUAGCGUGAAGGAUGACUGCCCUAUGGGUUGUCAACUUCUUUUAUAAAUGAAUAAAACGAGGCACGUGUGCCUUUUUGCAUGUACUUUAUGAAUAAGGAUCGGCUAACUCCGUGCCAGCAGCCGCGGUAAUACGGAGGAUCCGAGCGUUAUCCGGAUUUAUUGGGUUUAAAGGGUGCGUAGAUGGGUUGUUAAGUCAGUUGUGAAAGGUUGCGGCUCAACCGGAAAAUUGCAAUUGAUACUGGCAGUCUUGAGUACAGUUGAGGUAGGCGGAAUUUGUGGUGUAGCGGUGAAAUGCUUAGAUAUCACGAAGAACCCCGAUUGCGAAGGCAGCUUACUAAACUGUGACUGACAUUGAUGCUCGAAAGUGUGGGUAUCAAACAGGAUUAGAUACCCGAGUAGUC
This 460-nucleotide ribosomal RNA is filed under the name uncultured bacterium. Its description in RNAcentral is "partial 16S ribosomal RNA". It matches the Rfam family "Bacterial small subunit ribosomal RNA", at positions 338 to 795 of the family's 1533-position model. The record is from RNAcentral.